GACGAACGCUGGCGGCAUGCCUAACACAUGCAAGUCGAGCGAGUAGAUCCCUUCGGGGUGAAGCUAGCGGCGGACGGGUGAGUAACACGUGGGCAACCUGCCUCAUAGAGGGGAAUAGCCUUCCGAAAGGAAGAUUAAUACCGCAUAAGAUUGUAGUACCGCAUGGUAUAGCAAUUAAAGGAGCAAUCCGCUAUGAGAUGGGCCCGCGGCGCAUUAGCUAGUUGGUGAGGUAACGGCUCACCAAGGCGACGAUGCGUAGCCGACCUGAGAGGGUGAUCGGCCACAUUGGGACUGAGACACGGCCCAGACUCCUACGGGAGGCAGCAGUGGGGAAUAUUGCACAAUGGGGGAAACCCUGAUGCAGCAAUGCCGCGUGAGUGAUGACGGCCUUCGGGUUGUAAAGCUCUGUCUUCGGGGACGAUAAUGACGGUACCCGAGGAGGAAGCCACGGCUAACUACGUGCCAGCCGCCGCCGUAA
Molecule: ribosomal RNA, 478 nt
Filed under: uncultured bacterium
Lineage: Bacteria
Description: partial 16S ribosomal RNA
Rfam family: Bacterial small subunit ribosomal RNA
Source: RNAcentral